GGAUUAGAUACCCUGGUAGUCCACGCCGUAAACGAUGGGCACUAGGUGUUGGUUUUACCUUCGGGUGAAAUCGGUGCCGCAGCUAACGCAUUAAGUGCCCCACCUGGGAAGUACGCCCGCAAGGGUGAAACUCAAAGGAAUUGACGGGGGCCCGCACAAGCGGUGGAGCAUGUGGUUUAAUUCGACAACGCGCAGAACCUUACCGGGGCUUAAACUGCUAGGUAAACCCUAUGAAAGUAGGACUGAUCUUCGGAUCGACCUAGUAGAGGUGCUGCAUGGCUGUCGUCAGCUCGUGCCG
This 298-nucleotide ribosomal RNA is filed under the name uncultured bacterium. RNAcentral describes it as "partial 16S ribosomal RNA". It matches the Rfam family "Bacterial small subunit ribosomal RNA", at positions 775 to 1067 of the family's 1533-position model. The record is from RNAcentral.